RNAcentral lists this long non-coding RNA (295 nucleotides) under Lathyrus oleraceus (garden pea). Its description in RNAcentral is "Pisum sativum (pea) long non-coding RNA (PSAT_LNC033620)". The record is from RNAcentral. Lineage: Eukaryota; Viridiplantae; Streptophyta; Magnoliopsida; Fabales; Fabaceae.
UAGAGAACGCAUAAUAAUUGGGAGAAAAGAGAAGAAAUUGAGAAAGGGAGAAAAAGGGGCUAGGGUUCAAGAGGAGAAGUCACCAUUGUUGAAGGUCAAAGAAUUAAUUGCUAGAAACUCUAAGUUAAGGGUGGGGUUAUGAUUAUCUAAGGGUUAACAUGAUGAUGGUGGGUAGAUUAUUCCAUGUAGGUUUUGUGUUUUCUUCUCUAUGUUUAAUUGUGGAAAUGACGAAUGUUGAAUUGUAUGAAUGAUGACAUUGUUGUUGUUAAAAUCAUGAAAUUUGAUUGGAUUAUUA